RNAcentral lists this non-coding RNA (232 nucleotides) under Lactonifactor longoviformis. RNAcentral's name for it is "T-box sequence". It matches the Rfam family "T-box leader". From Rfam's summary of the family: Uncharged tRNA acts as the effector for transcription antitermination of genes in the T-box leader family. T-boxes are found upstream of many aminoacyl-tRNA synthetase genes and some amino acid biosynthetic genes usually in Gram-positive bacteria. Lineage: Bacteria; Bacillati; Bacillota; Clostridia; Eubacteriales; Clostridiaceae. The record is from RNAcentral.
GAAAAGGCAACGAAAGGGAAGAGUAGCUGAUAUUUGAACUGACAGAGAGAGAAGGCCACCGGCUGAAAGCCAUCUCAAGGGAGAAUCCAGCGAAGUGCCCCCUGGAGCUGACCGGGUGAACAGGCAUCUGCCGCCAGUAGUCCGGUACGUUACUCAUGCGUUAAAUGAAAGAAGGGGAGGAUCCGGUGUAUCCUCUAGUAGAGUGGAACCGCGGACCAGCUUCGUCUCUUGU